AUAAUCAUUUCUAAAUAUCAAAAAUGAUCACUCUUAGAAACUUCAUGAUCUUUAAUUUUCACUCUAUCUUCAUCUCUAUUUUUAAAUUUACUAAAACUAUAUUUCUUGUAUUCCGUUUUGAUGCUACUUAAUCUAAAACCCUAAACCUCAAUUUUAGUUUCAUCCACUAAUACUAUGUCAUCCAUAAACAGCAUGCACCAAGAAAUGUCAUCUUGGAUAUACCUAGUAAGCUCGUCCAUAACUAGUACAAAAAUAUAGAGACUUAAAGCAGAACUUUGGUGUAUACGUUUUAUGAUUGGAAACUCAAUUGUAUUAUCACCAAGUGUUCUAAC
This 332-nucleotide long non-coding RNA is filed under the name Phoenix dactylifera (date palm). RNAcentral's name for it is "long non-coding RNA (PDAC_LNC002771)". The record is from RNAcentral. Lineage: Eukaryota; Viridiplantae; Streptophyta; Magnoliopsida; Arecales; Arecaceae.